Molecule: ribosomal RNA, 1035 nt
Filed under: Actinomadura sp. 7K507
Lineage: Bacteria; Bacillati; Actinomycetota; Actinomycetes; Streptosporangiales; Thermomonosporaceae
Description: partial 23S ribosomal RNA
Rfam family: Bacterial large subunit ribosomal RNA
Source: RNAcentral
GGGUCGAGGCUGAGAAUCUAAGCGCCGGUAAACGGCGGUGGUAACUAUAACCAUCCUAAGGUAGCGAAAUUCCUUGUCGGGUAAGUUCCGACCUGCACGAAUGGCGUAACGACUUCCCCGCUGUCUCAACCACAGGCCCGGUGAAAUUGCAGUACGAGUAAAGAUGCUCGUUUCGCGCAGCAGGACGGAAAGACCCCGGGACCUUCACUAUAGCUUGGCAUUGGCGUUUGGAGCGUCUUGUGUAGGAUAGGUGGGAGACUGUGAAGCCGGCACGCCAGUGUCGGUGGAGUCGUUGGUGAAAUACCACUCUGGUCGUUUUGAGCGUCUAACCCGCGCCCGUGUAUCCGGGUGGGGGACAGUGCCUGGUGGGUAGUUUAACUGGGGCGGUUGCCUCCUAAAGUGUAACGGAGGCGCCCAAAGGUUCCCUCAGCCUGGUUGGCAAUCAGGUGGCGAGUGUAAGGGCACAAGGGAGCUUGACUGUGAGACGGACGUGUCGAGCAGGUGCGAAAGCAGGGCCUAGUGAUCCGGCAUCUACGUGUGGAAGUGGUGUCGCUCAACGGCUAAAAGGUACCCCGGGGAUAACAGGCUGAUCUUCCCCAAGAGUCCAUAUCGACGGGAUGGUUUGGCACCUCGAUGUCGGCUCGUCGCAUCCUGGGGCUGGAGUAGGUCCCAAGGGUUGGGCUGUUCGCCCAUUAAAGCGGCACGCGAGCUGGGUUUAGAACGUCGCGAGACAGUUCGGUCCCUAUCCGCUGCGCGCGUAGGAGAAUUGAGAGGGUCUGUCCCUAGUACGAGAGGACCGGGACGGACGAACCUCUGGUGUGCCAGUUGUCCCGCCAGGGGCACGGCUGGUUGGCUACGUUCGGUCGGGAUAACCGCUGAAAGCAUCUAAGCGGGAAGCCUUCCUCGAGAUGAGUUCUCCCACCCCUUUGUGGGUGUAAGGCCCCCAAGAGACGAUUGGGUUGAUAGGCCGGGGAUGGAAGCGCGGUAACGUGUGGAGUCGACCGGUACUAAUAGGCCGAGUGGCUUGAACACACA